CUAAGCCAUGCGAGUCAUUGUAGCAAUACAAGGCAGACGGCUCAGUAACGCGUAGUCAACCUAACCUAUGGACGGGAAUAACCUCGGGAAACUGAGAAUAAUGCCCGAUAGAACACUAUGCCUGGAAUGGUUUGUGUUCCAAAUGAUUUAUCGCCGUAGGAUGGGACUGCGGCCUAUCAGUUUGUUGGUGAGGUAAUGGCCCACCAAGACUAUUACAGGUACGGGCUCUGAGAGGAGUAGCCCGGAGAUGGGUACUGAGACACGGACCCAGGCCCUAUGGGGCGCAGCAGGCGAGAAAACUUUGCAAUGUGCGAAAGCACGACAAGGUUAAUCCGAGUGAUUUGUGCUAAACGAAUCUUUUGUUAGUCCUAGAACCACUAACGAAUAAGGGGUGGGCAAGUUCUGGUGUCAGCCGCCGCGGUAAAACCAGCACCUCAAGUGGUCAGGAUGAUUAUUGGGCCUAAAGCAUCCGUAGCCGGCUCUGUAAGUUUUCGGUUAAAUCUGUACGCUUAACGUACAGGCUGCCGGGAAUACUGCAGAGCUAGGGAGUGGGAGAGGUAGACGGUACUCGGUAGGAAGGGGUAAAAUCCUUUGAUCUAUUGAUGACCACCUGUGGCGAAGGCGGUCUACCAGAACACGUCCGACGGUGAGGGAUGAAAGCUGGGGGAGCAAACCGGAUUAGAUACCCGGGUAGUCCCAGCUGUAAACUAUGCAAACUCAGUGAUGCAUUGACUUGUGGUCAAUGCAGUGCUGCAGGGAAGCCGUUAAGUUUGCCGCCUGGGAAGUACGUACGCAAGUAUGAAACUUAAAGGAAUUGGCGGGGGAGCACCACAAGGGGUGAAGCCUGCGGUUCAAUUGGAUUCAACGCCGGAAAUCACU
Molecule: ribosomal RNA, 879 nt
Filed under: uncultured crenarchaeote
Lineage: Archaea; Thermoproteati; Thermoproteota
Description: bacterial SSU rRNA
Rfam family: Archaeal small subunit ribosomal RNA
Source: RNAcentral